UCUCCUGGAAACGGGUGGUAAUGCCGGAUGCUCCGGUUGGAUGCAUGUCCUUCCGGGAAAGAUUCUAUCGGUAUGGGAUGGGGUCGCGUCCUAUCAGCUUGAUGGCGGGGUAACGGCCCACCAUGGCUUCGACGGGUAGCCGGCCUGAGAGGGCGACCGGCCACAUUGGGACUGAGAUACGGCCCAGACUCCUACGGGAGGCAGCAGUGGGGAAUAUUGCACAAUGGGCGCAAGCCUGAUGCAGCGACGCCGCGUGCGGGAUGGAGGCCUUCGGGUUGUAAACCGCUUUUGAUCGGGAGCAAGCCCUUCGGGGUGAGUGUACCUUUCGAAUAAGCACCGGCUAACUACGUGCCAGCAGCCGCGGUAAUACGUAGGGUGCAAGCGUUAUCCGGAAUUAUUGGGCGUAAAGGGCUCGUAGGCGGUUCGUCGCGUCCGGUGUGAAAGCCCAUCGCUUAACGGUGGGUCUGCGCCGGGUACGGGCGGGCUGGAGUGCGGUAGGGGAGACUGGAAUUCCCGGUGUAACGGUGGAAUGUGUAGAUAUCGGGAAGAACACCA
This 555-nucleotide ribosomal RNA is filed under the name Bifidobacterium dentium. RNAcentral's name for it is "bacterial SSU rRNA". It matches the Rfam family "Bacterial small subunit ribosomal RNA", at positions 146 to 711 of the family's 1533-position model. Lineage: Bacteria; Bacillati; Actinomycetota; Actinomycetes; Bifidobacteriales; Bifidobacteriaceae. The record is from RNAcentral.